Molecule: small nucleolar RNA, 213 nt
Organism: Zingiber officinale
Lineage: Eukaryota; Viridiplantae; Streptophyta; Magnoliopsida; Zingiberales; Zingiberaceae
Product: small nucleolar RNA Z112
Exons: 1
Source: RefSeq, a predicted model, not a curated record
AUCCCAAUGAGGAUGAUAAGACCUUGAUAGGAAGUGCCGUAUGACACUUAAGCAGCAGCUGUGCCAACCAGUUACUUGCAGUUUUCUCUGCAUUUGCUCCACUCAAAUUCUGUAAGAACUGAGCUGUAGUGUAGUGUAUGUCAAAUGAUUAGUGUAGAUCAACUGGAACUGGUCAUAGUUGUUUGUGUGAUUUUAAAUGGGUCUCUGAGGGUU